Long non-coding RNA from Harpia harpyja (harpy eagle), 820 nucleotides. RefSeq lists it as uncharacterized. The transcript is spliced from 2 exons. The record is from RefSeq and is a predicted model, not a curated record. Lineage: Eukaryota; Metazoa; Chordata; Aves; Accipitriformes; Accipitridae.
GAGUUUAAAGCACAGUAGGCUUGGUCAGAUAAAUAUAUAAAAGGGAGAGAAAUUCAAGGCUCUCUACUCACAUCUCCAGACUUACAUUCUCACUGAACUCGAAUUGCCUCCCUCCAUCGCACCAAGAUGACUUACUACUACCAGAACCAGUGUGAGGAUGCCUGCUACACUCCCUGCAACUAUGGGACCGUGUACAGCUACCAGACCUAUGACUGCGGGAGCCCCUGUGGCUACCGGGGCUACAGGGGUCUGGGCAGUUAUCGGGACUGCUACCCCUCCUACAGCUCCCGCUAUUGCUACCCCUACUCUUCUUGCUACACCCGUAGAUACAGCUAUGGGAGCUUCUACCCCUGCUAAACCCAGCCAUAUAACGACCAGAUAGGAAAUGAAAGGCAAAAUAGUGAUUUACGACUCCUGUAUGAAUUUUACCUUUGCUAAGCUCCCGUGACAGUGACUGCAGUCAGGAAUGGUCCUGAGUGCUUAAUAUCUCUCUUCAAUGUCUGCAGCUAUUUUGAAUAACCUGCUUUUAGGGUCAACUUUUCCUUCAUAGCCUUUGUUGGUGGAUAUACUGUGUAAUUUGAUGUGUACCUUUGCAACAGGAGAUGCAGACCAGAGCAGAUGCCUCGUCUUGCCGUAUGUUGUGCUGACAGCUCUGCUCUUCACCAAACACCACCAUAGUCCCAAAAGCAUCUGCUGUGAAAUGUAGUAACUCUUUGUUUAAAGAAUGUAUGAACCUCUGGAUACCCCUAUUCUGUACUACUGUAAGCUGUAACUGCUGUGUACAGUGCUUCUUACUCUCAUUAAAAGAUCUUGCAUCGCA